Molecule: non-coding RNA, 25 nt
Filed under: Arabidopsis thaliana (thale cress)
Lineage: Eukaryota; Viridiplantae; Streptophyta; Magnoliopsida; Brassicales; Brassicaceae
Source: RNAcentral
UAAUAGCCAAUAGAACAUUACUUUC